RNAcentral lists this ribosomal RNA (426 nucleotides) under uncultured bacterium. Its description in RNAcentral is "bacterial SSU rRNA". It matches the Rfam family "Bacterial small subunit ribosomal RNA", at positions 355 to 774 of the family's 1533-position model. The record is from RNAcentral.
UGGGGAAUCUUGCGCAAUGGGCGAAAGCCUGACGCAGCGACGCCGCGUGAGUGAUGAAGGCCUUCGGGUUGUAAAGCUCUGUGGGGAGAGACGAAUAAGUGCAAGCUAAUACCUUGCAUGAUGACGGUAUCUCCUUAGCAAGCACCGGCUAACUCUGUGCCAGCAGCCGCGGUAAGACAGAGGGUGCAAACGUUGUUCGGAAUUACUGGGCGUAAAGCGAGUGUAGGCGGUUUCCUAAGUCAGGUGUGAAAGCCCCGGGCUCAACCCGGGAAGUGCACUUGAAACUGGGAGGCUAGAGUACUGGAGAGNUUGGUGGAAUUCUCGGUGUAGAGGUGAAAUUCGUAGAUAUCGAGAGGAACACCGGUGGCGAAGGCGGCCAACUGGACAGAUACUGACGCUGAGACUCGAAAGCGUGGGGAGCAAACA